GAUGAACGCUGGCGGCGUGCCUAAUACAUGCAAGUCGAGCGAACAGAUGAGGAGCUUGCUCCUCUGACGUUAGCGGCGGACGGGUGAGUAACACGUGGAUAACCUACCUAUAAGACUGGGAUAACUUCGGGAAACCGGAGCUAAUACCGGAUAAUAUAUUGAACCGCAUGGUUCAAUAGUGAAAGACGGUUUUGCUGUCACUUAUAGAUGGAUCCGCGCCGCAUUAGCUAGUUGGUAAGGUAACGGCUUACCAAGGCGACGAUGCGUAGCCGACCUGAGAGGGUGAUCGGCCACACUGGAACUGAGACACGGUCCAGACUCCUACGGGAGGCAGCAGUAGGGAAUCUUCCGCAAUGGGCGAAAGCCUGACGGAGCAACGCCGCGGGAGUGAUGAAGGUCUUCGGAUCGUAAAACUCUGUUAUUAGGGAAGAACAAAUGUGUAAGUAACUAUGCACGUCUUGACGGUACCUAAUCAGAAAGCCACGGCUAACUACGUG
RNAcentral lists this ribosomal RNA (497 nucleotides) under uncultured bacterium. RNAcentral's name for it is "partial 16S ribosomal RNA". It matches the Rfam family "Bacterial small subunit ribosomal RNA", at positions 28 to 507 of the family's 1533-position model. The record is from RNAcentral.